RNAcentral lists this ribosomal RNA (505 nucleotides) under Theileria orientalis. Its description in RNAcentral is "SSU rRNA". It matches the Rfam family "Eukaryotic small subunit ribosomal RNA", at positions 499 to 1041 of the family's 1831-position model. Lineage: Eukaryota; Apicomplexa; Aconoidasida; Piroplasmida; Theileriidae. The record is from RNAcentral.
UGUCUUGUAAUUGGAAUGAUGGGAAUUUAAACCUCUUCCAGAGUAUCAAUUGGAGGGCAAGUCUGGUGCCAGCAGCCGCGGUAAUUCCAGCUCCAAUAGCGUAUAUUAAAAUUGUUGCAGUUAAAAAGCUCGUAGUUGAAUUUCUGCUGCAUUACAUAUCUCUUGUUUGAGUUUGUUUUUGUGGCUUAUUUCGGUUUGAUUUUUUCUUUCCGGAUGAUUACUUUGAGAAAAUUAGAGUGCUCAAAGCAGGCUUUUGCCUUGAAUAGUUUAGCAUGGAAUAAUAAAGUAGGACUUUGGUUCUAUUUUGUUGGUUUUAGGUACCAAAGUAAUGGUUAAUAGGAACAGUUGGGGGCAUUCGUAUUUAACUGUCAGAGGUGAAAUUCUUAGAUUUGUUAAAGACGAACUACUGCGAAAGCAUUUGCCAAGGAUGUUUUCAUUAAUCAAGAACGAAAGUUAGGGGAUCGAAGACGAUCAGAUACCGUCGUAGUCCUAACCAUAAACUAUA